CCUACGGGAGGCAGCAGUGGGGAAUAUUGCACAAUGGGGGAAACCCUGAUGCAGCGACGCCGCGUGAGUGAAGAAGGCCUUCGGUAUGUAAAGCUCUAUCAGCAGGGAAGAAAAUGACGGUACCUGAGUAAGAAUCCCCGGCUAACUACGUUCCAGCAGCCGCGGUAAUACGUAGGGGGCAAGCGUUAUCCGGAUUUACUGGGUGUAAAGGGAGCGUAGACGGCAGGGCAAGUCUGGAGUGAAAGGCGGGGGCUCAACCCCCGGACUGCCCUGGAAACUGUACGGCUGGAGUGCAGGAGAGGUAAGUGGAAUUCCUAGUGUAGCGGUGAAAUGCGUAGAUAUUAGGAGGAACACCAGUGGCGAAGGCAGCUUACUGGACUGUAACUGACGUUGAGGCUCGAAAGCGUGGGGAGCAAACAGGAUUAGAUACCCUUGUAGUC
RNAcentral lists this ribosomal RNA (440 nucleotides) under uncultured bacterium. Its description in RNAcentral is "partial 16S ribosomal RNA". It matches the Rfam family "Bacterial small subunit ribosomal RNA", at positions 338 to 795 of the family's 1533-position model. The record is from RNAcentral.